This 74-nucleotide transfer RNA is filed under the name Selaginella moellendorffii. Its description in RNAcentral is "tRNA tRNA-Thr". It matches the Rfam family "tRNA". Rfam says of the family: Transfer RNA (tRNA) molecules are approximately 80 nucleotides in length. Their secondary structure includes four short double-helical elements and three loops (D, anti-codon, and T loops). The record is from Rfam by way of RNAcentral. Lineage: Eukaryota; Viridiplantae; Streptophyta; Lycopodiopsida; Selaginellales; Selaginellaceae.
GCUUUCAUAGCUCAAUUGUUAAGAGCACCCGUUUAGUAAACGGGAGGUCCUGAGUUCAACUCUCAGUGAAAGCA